Molecule: ribosomal RNA, 545 nt
Filed under: uncultured bacterium
Lineage: Bacteria
Description: bacterial SSU rRNA
Rfam family: Bacterial small subunit ribosomal RNA
Source: RNAcentral
ACGGAAUAGAUACCCUGGUAGUCCACGCCCUAAACGAUGUCUACUAGUUGUUGGUGGAGUAAAAUCCAUGAGUAAACGCAGCUAAACGCGUGAAGUAGACCGCCUGGGGAGUACGGUCGCAAGAUUAAAACUCAAAUGAAUUGACGGGGGCCCGCACAAGCGGUGGAUUAUGUGGAUUAAUUCGAUGCAACGCGAAAACCUUACCUGGCCUUGACAUGUAACGAACUUUCCAGAGAUGGAUUGGUGCUCGAAAGAGAACGUUAACACAGGUGCUGCAUGGCUGUCGUCAGCUCGUGUCGUGAGAUGUUGGGUUAAGUCCCGCAACGAGCGCAACCCUUGCCAUUAAUUGCCAUCAUUUAGUUGGGCACUUUAAUGGGACUGCCGGUGACAAACCGGAGGAAGGUGGGGAUGACGUCAAGUCCUCAUGGCCCUUAUGGCCAGGGCUUCACACGUAAUACAAUGGUCGGUACAGAGGGUUGCCAACCCGCGAGGGGAGCCAAUCCCAGAAAGCCGAUCGUAGUCCGGAUUGUAGUCUGCAACUCGAC